AGAGAAGAAGAUAAGGGCGUAUGGCGGAUGCCUAGGCUCUCAGAGGCGAAGAAGGACGUGACAAGCUGCGAAAAGCUACGGGGAGAUGCACAUAAUUAGUGAUCCGUAGAUAUCCGAAUGGGGCAACCCGGUAUGUUGAAGACAUAUCACCAGCAAUGGGGCAAACGCAGGGAACUGAAACAUCUAAGUACCUGUAGGAGAAGAAAACAAUAGUGAUUCCCUGAGUAGCGGCGAGCGAACGGGGAACAGCCCAAACCAAGAUUGUUUCGGCAAACUUGGGGUUGUAGGACUGUAAUGUGGACUUAAGAUAGAUAGUAGAACUACUUGGAACGGUAGGCCAGAGAAGGUGAUAGCCCUGUAGACGAAAUCGAUUUUAUACCUAACAGUAUCCUGAGUAGUGCGGGGCACGGGAAACCCUGUAUGAAUCAAGCGGGACCAUCCGUUAAGGCUAAAUACUCCUGAGAGACCGAUAGUGAACAAGUACCGUGAGGGAAAGGUGAAAAGUACUCCGAAUAGGAGGGUGAAAUAGUACCUGAAACCAUACGCUUACAAGCGGUCGGAGGUCUUCGGACUGACGGCGUGCCUUUUGCAUAAUGAGCCUACGAGUUACUCCUCACAAGCGAGGUUAAGACUUUAAGAGUCGAAUCCGAAGCGAAAGCGAGUCUGAAUAGGGCGAACUAGUUUGUGGGGGUAGACGCGAAACCGUGUGAUCUACCCAUGGGCAGGUUGAAGCUGUAGUAACAUACAGUGGAGGACCGAACCAGUACAUGUUGAAAAAUGUUUGGAUGACCUGUGGGUAGGGGUGAAAGGCUAAUCAAACUCGGAAAUAGCUCGUACUCCCCGAAAUGCAUUUAGGUGCAGCGUUGAGUUAAGUAUUAUAGAGGUAGAGCUACUGAUUGGGCUAGGGGGCUUCACCGCCUACCAACCCCUGACAAACUCCGAAUGCUAUAAUAUGUUUCUCAGCAGUGAGGGCAUGGGUGCUAAGGUCCAUGUCCGAAAGGGAAAGAACCCAGAUCAUCAGCUAAGGUCCCCAAAUGUGUGUUAAGUUGACAAAACGCGGUCAGAUUGCAUAGACAGCUAGGAUGUUGGCUUGGAAGCAGCCAUUCAUUUAAAGAGUGCGUAACAGCUCACUAGUCGAGCGAUUUGGCAUGGAUAAUAAUCGGGCAUAAAUACACUACCGAAGCUAUGAACUUGAAUUUAUUCAAGUGGUAGGGGAGCAUUCUAAUUGCAUUGAAGGUGAACUGUGAGGUUUGCUGGAGCGGUUAGAAAAGAAAAUGUAGGCAUAAGUAACGUUAAGGAGGGCGAGAACCCCUCCCACCGCAAGACUAAGGUUUCCCCGGCUAUGCUAGUCAUCCGGGGGUUAGUCAGGACCUAAGGCGUACCCUAACGGGGAAGUCGAUGGACAACGGGUUAAUAUUCCCGUACUUGCUUAAACAGUGAUGGAGAGACGGAGUAGUGAAAGUACCGCGUACUGACGGAAUAGUACGUUGAAAACCGUAGGUAUUGGAGAGGCAGGUAAAUCCACCUUUCUAGCUGAAAGUUGAUAGUACCAAGAGCCUUCGGGCAAUUGGAUAGUGUACCUAAUCAGACUUCCAAGAAAAACUUCUAAACUUAUGUUUAAGCAACCUGUACCGCAAACCGACACAGGUAGUCGAGGAGAGUAUCCUAAGGUGGACGAGUGAUUCAUGGCUAAGGAACUAGGCAAAAUAGACCCGUAACUUCGGGAGAAGGGUCCCCUGUAGUAAUACAGGGCGCAGUGAAAAGGCCCAGGCGACUGUUUAUCAAAAACACAGGACUCUGCUAAGUUGAAAGACGAUGUAUAGGGUCUGACACCUGCCCGGUGCCGGAAGGUUAAGUGGAGAUGUUAGUCUUCGGAUGAAGCAUUGAAAUGAAGCCCCGGUAAACGGCGGCCGUAACUAUAACGGUCCUAAGGUAGCGAAAUUCCUUGUCGGGUAAGUUCCGACCUGCACGAAUGGUGUAACGAUCUGGGCACUGUCUCGGCCAUGAGCUCGGUGAAAUUGUAGUAACGGUGAAGAUGCCGUUUACCCGCAGUGGGACGGAAAGACCCCGUGAACCUUCACUAUAGCUUUACAUUGACUUUGGGUAAACGAUGUGUAGGAUAGGUGGGAGACUAUGAAGCUGGCACGCUAGUGUUGGUGGAGUCAACCUUGAAAUACCACCCUUCGUUUAUCUGGAGCCUAAUCCCGUAAGGGAGACAGUGUAUGGUGGGUAGUUUGACUGGGGUGGUCGCCUCCAAAAGAGUAACGGAGGCUUUCAAAGGUUCCCUCAGCACGCUUGGUAACCGUGCGUAGAGUGCAAUAGCAUAAGGGAGCUUGACUGUGAGACUGACAAGUCGAGCAGGUACGAAAGUAGGAUAUAGUGAUCCGGUAGUUCCGUAUGGAAGGGCUAUCGCUCAAAGGAUAAAAGGUACUCCGGGGAUAACAGGCUGAUCACUCCCAAGAGCUCACAUCGACGGAGUGGUUUGGCACCUCGAUGUCGGCUCGUCACAUCCUGGGGCUGGAGAAGGUCCCAAGGGUUGGGCUGUUCGCCCAUUAAAGUGGCACGCGAGCUGGGUUCAGAACGUCGCGAGACAGUUCGGUCCCUAUCUACUGUGGGCGUUGGAAAUUUGCGAGGACCUGACUCUAGUACGAGAGGACCGAGUUGGACAAACCUCUGGUGUACCAGUUGUUCCGCCAGGAGCACCGCUGGGUAGCUAUGUUUGGAAGAGAUAAGCACUGAAAGCAUCUAAGUGCGAAACUCGCCUCAAGAUGAGAUUUCCUUUAAGGGUCGUUGGAGAUGACGACGUUGAUAGGCUGCAGGUGUAAAGUCAGUGAUGGCAAAGCCGAGCAGUACUAAUUACCCUAUGUCUUCCCUUC
This 2876-nucleotide ribosomal RNA is filed under the name Bacteroidota bacterium. RNAcentral describes it as "Bacteroidetes bacterium 23S ribosomal RNA". It matches the Rfam family "Bacterial large subunit ribosomal RNA". The record is from RNAcentral. Lineage: Bacteria; Pseudomonadati; Bacteroidota. RNAcentral also lists the same sequence under 1 other name.